Long non-coding RNA from Raphanus sativus (radish), 1901 nucleotides. RefSeq lists it as uncharacterized. The record is from RefSeq and is a predicted model, not a curated record. The transcript is spliced from 6 exons. Lineage: Eukaryota; Viridiplantae; Streptophyta; Magnoliopsida; Brassicales; Brassicaceae.
GACAGAGUUCUCCGACUUUUCCACUCCAUCAUCACCGUUUUCAAUUUCUAAACUCCGUUACUGUGAAGUCAUCAAGCUCCAAUCUUAAUCAUUCAAUUAAUUAUGUUCUUUACUUCUCUCUUCAUGAGAGCUGGGAUAUGCAGUAAUUAGUUCAGUAGUCGUACCGGGUCAAAACUCUCCAAAUUCCUCUUUCUUUCUCACACUAUAAGUAACCGUUGAUGUUAUUCACCUGCUCCUCUGCACACUGAUUGAUGGAACCUACCACCUCUGUGUCUCCCAAUCCCAGUAGAACCUCACAAAUAAUAGUUCUGAUGGGCUUUGACUUGGUCUUGCGAUGUUCUUGAUACAUGAGCAGUUACUGUUACCAUUUCAGAAGGUUUAGAGCAGCUUCAACUUCCCCGUGAGCACCGCUGAUUCUCCACACGUAGGAGGUGAACAAUUCCCACUCAAGCAUGUGAUAUAGGCAUAUAGCAGCACAUAAACAUAUCAAAUGUGACUUGCCUAUGAAUUGAUAAUCUCAGGAUUCAACGUAAGUGCGUACAUAAACAUGCUCUGUCUCUCACUGAGAAACUCUCUUCCCAAAGCUGUUGUUUACUGCCAAGUUAGAGAAGCUACGAUAUCCCUCAACUUCUUCUACGCUCACUUUAGCAUAAAAUAGAAGGAGAAGCCGGGGACGAUGUUGGACGAAGACACACAACUUAAGGAACAAAGAGGAACCUAAUCCAAACAAGCUUGAGAUGUAUCCAUGCUGUGCCUUGGAGAUAUAGUGGGUUUUAAGAUGGCAGCACUCUCCUCUCUCCAUUCUUAACACGACGAACCAAGAGAAAGUUUGUUGUGACUCCUCCAGCUAAUGUCACAGAGACUCUUCUAAGUACACUCCUGCAGAGAAGAUCCCAUUUCAGUACGGUUUUCUAAAGAGAUGAUGAUGAUACCAAAUUCUCCAACGAAGCUGUGUCCGAAGUUGUCGUUAAGCAUGGGUCAUCUGUGUACAUCGAGUUCCCAGCUUCUGAGAUUGUUGAAGACUUAGAUUUUGCAUGGGUUCACUGAUAAAUCCCGAUCAGUUGCCAAUAAAUUCCAUCAAGAGACAAUGGUGCUAAAUGUUACCAAUAAUCCUCCUUUUUAGGACAACCAUUCAUCUUUUAUUCACUAAUCAAUUGUUGAGCUUGAGACUAGAGAUUUGUUUCUUUCUUUAACACAGGGACAAGGACAAACCAAGGACCCGAAAGAAACAAGUCUACGAGACAUCUGAAGAUACUCUUCUUCUAAAGUAUUUCUCAAAUUAAUUACCGGAGCUAAAAAUGACAUGGGAUGGGCGAGUCUAAAUAAUUUAGCGACGCGUGUCCUUGAGCUUCGGUGGUUUGUAUCCAUGGCCGGAGGAUGCAAUUCUCGCUGCCUUUCCGGAACGCCUGGCCACCGUUGCAUCUUAUUUUAAUCUUUAUUUGCGGUAGGUUUUCAAUAAUUAUCUGCUGAUAUUCGUGAUUGUUAAGCUUUUAGUUCUCUCUCCCUCUUGGUUUAUUGCUAAUGUCUGGAAGAAUCUCAUGAGAUGAAGAAGAUAACGUUUGGGGAUCAGAAAGUGAUCUUUACACAGGAAGAAAGAAAGAGUAAAAUGUUUCUGGAGAUUUUCAAUACCAUAUAUACACAUAAAGAUGUAUAUAUCAAUAUCCAAGUUACGAAGCUUUUAAAAAUUAUUUGAUUAAUAAAUUAGCUAAGAUACAUACAGAACUUAGGAAGACAAUGUGUGAGACCUGUCCGCCGUUGAAAAUAUUUAAUCUUACGCCAUAUAUUUGAAAAUAAUUACCGUGAAUUUGUUCCAACGAGAAAACAAACGGAUUACAUUUUUUACAUAAUUUGUAUGUUCUUUUUGUGACAUGUUACGAUGAAUAACUGGGCUAACAACAACA